AGAUUGAACGCUGGCGGCAGGCUUAACACAUGCAAGUCGAACGAUGAAACUCUAGCUUGCUAGAGAAGAUUAGUGGCGGACGGGUGAGUAACAUUUAGGAAUCUGCCUAGUAGUGGGGGAUAGCUCGGGGAAACUCGAAUUAAUACCGCAUACGACCUACGGGUGAAAGGGGGCGCAAGCUCUUGCUAUUAGAUGAGCCUAAAUCAGAUUAGCUAGUUGGUGGGGUAAAGGCCCACCAAGGCGACGAUCUGUAACUGGUCUGAGAGGAUGAUCAGUCACACCGGAACUGAGACACGGUCCGGACUCCUACGGGAGGCAGCAGUGGGGAAUAUUGGACAAUGGGGGCAACCCUGAUCCAGCCAUGCCGCGUGUGUGAAGAAGGCCUUUUGGUUGUAAAGCACUUUAAGCAGGGAGGAGAGGCUAAUGGUUAAUACCCAUUAGAUUAGACGUUACCUGCAGAAUAAGCACCGGCUAACUCUGUGCCAGCAGCCGCGGUAAUACAGAGGGUGCGAGCGUUAAUCGGAAUUACUGGGCGUAAAGCGAGUGUAGGUGGCUCAUUAAGUCACAUGUGAAAUCCCCGGGCUUAACCUGGGAACUGCAUGUGAUACUGGUGGUGCUAGAAUAUGUGAGAGGGAAGUAGAAUUCCAGGUGUAGCGGUGAAAUGCGUAGAGAUCUGGAGGAAUACCGAUGGCGAAGGCAGCUUCCUGGCAUAAUAUUGACACUGAGAUUCGAAAGCGUGGGUAGCAAACAGGAUUAGAUACCCUGGUAGUCCACGCCGUAAACGAUGUCUACUAGCCGUUGGGGUCCUUGAGACUUUAGUGGCGCAGUUAACGCGAUAAGUAGACCGCCUGGGGAGUACGGCCGCAAGGUUAAAACUCAAAUGAAUUGACGGGGGCCCGCACAAGCGGUGGAGCAUGUGGUUUAAUUCGAUGCAACGCGAAGAACCUUACCUGGUCUUGACAUAGUGAGAAUCUUUCAGAGAUGAGAGAGUGCCUUCGGGAAUUCACAUACAGGUGCUGCAUGGCUGUCGUCAGCUCGUGUCGUGAGAUGUUGGGUUAAGUCCCGCAACGAGCGCAACCCUUUUCCUUAUUUGCCAGCGGGUUAAGCCGGGAACUUUAAGGAUACUGCCAGUGACAAACUGGAGGAAGGCGGGGACGACGUCAAGUCAUCAUGGCCCUUACGACCAGGGCUACACACGUGCUACAAUGGUAGGUACAGAGGGUUGCUACACAGCGAUGUGAUGCUAAUCUCAAAAAGCCUAUCGUAGUCCGGAUUGGAGUCUGCAACUCGACUCCAUGAAGUCGGAAUCGCUAGUAAUCGCAGAUCAGAAUGCUGCGGUGAAUACGUUCCCGGGCCUUGUACACACCGCCCGUCACACCAUGGGAGUCUAUUGCACCAGAAGUAGGUAGCCUAACG
This 1416-nucleotide ribosomal RNA is filed under the name Enhydrobacter aerosaccus. Its description in RNAcentral is "bacterial SSU rRNA". It matches the Rfam family "Bacterial small subunit ribosomal RNA". The record is from RNAcentral. Lineage: Bacteria; Pseudomonadati; Pseudomonadota; Alphaproteobacteria; Hyphomicrobiales.